AUGUACCACUCGUACACUCCGGUUCCUGUGCGCCGUCCGCACCCACCUGACGACUGCUCGGUGUCGUCC
This 69-nucleotide small RNA is filed under the name Xanthomonas vasicola. RNAcentral describes it as "sX9 sRNA". It matches the Rfam family "Xanthomonas sRNA sX9". The record is from RNAcentral. Lineage: Bacteria; Pseudomonadati; Pseudomonadota; Gammaproteobacteria; Lysobacterales; Lysobacteraceae.